AGGGGUAUAGCCAAGCGGUAAGGCAUCGGGUUUUGAUCCCGUGUACCGCAGGUUCGAAUCCUGCUACCCCUGCCA
This 75-nucleotide transfer RNA is filed under the name [Bacillus] selenitireducens MLS10. RNAcentral describes it as "tRNA-Gln (TTG) (tRNA-Gln-TTG-1 1 to 3)". It matches the Rfam family "tRNA". From Rfam's summary of the family: Transfer RNA (tRNA) molecules are approximately 80 nucleotides in length. Their secondary structure includes four short double-helical elements and three loops (D, anti-codon, and T loops). The record is from RNAcentral. Lineage: Bacteria; Bacillati; Bacillota; Bacilli; Caryophanales; Bacillaceae.